This 417-nucleotide ribosomal RNA is filed under the name uncultured Nitrospira sp. RNAcentral's name for it is "bacterial SSU rRNA". It matches the Rfam family "Bacterial small subunit ribosomal RNA", at positions 355 to 774 of the family's 1533-position model. Lineage: Bacteria; Pseudomonadati; Nitrospirota; Nitrospiria; Nitrospirales; Nitrospiraceae. The record is from RNAcentral.
UAAGGAAUAUUGCGCAAUGGGCGAAAGCCUGACGCAGCGACGCCGCGUGGGGGAUGAAGGUCUUCGGAUUGUAAACCCCUUUCGGGAGGGAAGAUGGAGCGAGCGAUCGUUCGGACGGUACCUCCAGAAGCAGCCACGGCUAACUUCGUGCCAGCAGCCGCGGUAAUACGAAGGUGGCAAGCGUUGUUCGGAUUUACUGGGCGUACAGGGAGCGUAGGCGGUUCGGUAAGCCCUUUGUGAAAUCUCCAGGCUUAACCUGGAACAGUCGGAGGGGACUGCCGGGCUAGAGGACGGGAGAGGAGCGCGGAAUUCCCGGUGUAGCGGUGAAAUGCGUAGAGAUCGGGAGGAAGGCCGGUGGCGAAGGCGGCGCUCUGGAACGUUUCUGACGCUGAGGCUCGAAAGCGUGGGGAGCAAACA